This is a non-coding RNA of Acanthosepion pharaonis, 111 nucleotides long. Lineage: Eukaryota; Metazoa; Mollusca; Cephalopoda; Sepiida; Sepiidae. The record is from the annotation of a GenBank genome assembly.
UACGGCCACAUCACGGAAAACACCGGUCCUCGUACGAUCACUGAAGUUAAGCAAGCCCGAGCCUGGUCAUUACAUAGAUGGGUUACCGCUUGAGAAUACCGGGUGCCGCUU